ACAAUUGGAGCAUCAUUUCUCGUCAACAAAUGAGUGCAGCUGAUUUGGAGUUGUGGGAAGGAAGAGCUGAACAGUUGAGUUGAAUUGAUUUGAUGGGGAAAGGGAGAUGGAAGUGGAAUUGGGCAUCCUGUGGGGGAAUUCAUGGCGUGUGGAGCUAGCUGAUAUUUUCGGAUAUUUCCAUCCGUCAAAGGUUGGUGCAAUUCAAUUAUAUGAGUCACUGAGACCGAUUUGAUUGAUGAUAGCUUGAUUGAAUGAAUGAAUUCUUUCAUCAUCUUGUCUCCAUUCAUCCCCAACCUUAACCCUAACCCUAACCCUAAUCCUACUCCAAAAUUGGCGCAUCUAAUCCGAUGGUCGAACCAUGCUGGAAAGUUUGGACGCUUUGAUUUUGGUGGUCUUCGCAGUUUGGCCUCUGGUCUAUGAUUUCGAGAACGGUUUGUUUUUCCUGUGGUUAAUUUUGAGAUUACUCUGUCAGUUCGGUUAAGAAUCCGCAGUCAAAACUCUCAGGAAUUUUUACCUGAUUGAUUUGCUGCCUGUCGAAUUCCUUUCUACAUGUGUGCAGUGCCGUGGAAUAAGUUUUCCAGAUACUGUUGUUGUUUGUACCUUUUGCAUUAUUUCUAGGCCUUUCGAGAUGUUUGUGGUCCUGCGGAUAACAUUAUUCAAUGAUGAUUUUAUAUGAUUUCCCCUUUUUCCUUUAUGGAGUGGGUAGUUCUUCGUCUUCGGAAACCCCCAACUUGCCUCACAUGAAGUCUAAUCCUCAAGCUCAGAAAAUUCCCCCAAUCUCUGUUUAACAAGUGGCUCCCUCAGAUUUUUGUCGGUACCUAAUUCUUCGAUCCCGUCUUACUUUCUUCUCCUUGAUUAUUGGUUGUGCUGUAAUCGUGAAAAUUCUUCUCUUCGAUUUUUCGGAUCUGAGAUGAUAAGUUUGUUUUAGUGUGUUAUUGAAGAAGGAUUGGAUGAUUUGUUAGGUGAAAAUUAGGUUUCUGGUAGAGUUGAAUUGUGGUUGAUCUUGUAGAAAUUGUUGUGAUUGCGGCAAGACAGAUGAAUUUGUGGGGUUAGAGAUUUUGUGGUAUUCGAAGAGUUCGAAUUGGUAGGGUAAUGGAGAAGAAGUGUUGUACGACGGUAGUUUGGUUUCGAAGGGAUUUGAGGAUAGAAGACAAUCCAGCUUUGGCAGCUGCUGCAAGGGAUGGGAGUGUGUUGCCGGUGUUUAUAUGGUGUCCGAAGGAAGAAGGUCAGUAUUACCCGGGGCGAGUGUCGAGAUGGUGGAUGAAACAAUCGCUUAUCCAUCUGCAGCAAUCGUUGAAAUCUCUCGGUGCAGAGCUUGUGCUGAUUAAGACACAGAGCACUCUUUCUGCUCUGUUGGAUUGCAUCACUGCUGUUGGGGCGACGAGAGUUGUGUAUAACCAUCUCUAUGAUCCAAUUUCACUAGUUCGCGACCACAAUAUCAAGCAGAAGUUGAUCGAGCUUGAAAUUGACGUGCAAGGCUAUAAUGGCGAACUAUUGUUUGAGCCCUGGGAAAUCCGCGACGAUAAUGAUCGAGCUUUCACAACGUUCGACGCAUACUGGGACAAAUGCUUGAGCAUGCCAAAGGAACCCGUAUCACAUCUUCCACCGUGGCGUCUACUUCCCACAACUGGAACUGUCGAAAAUACGCCGAUCGACGCGCUGGGUCUCGAAAAUGAAUCGGAAAAGUCGAGCAAUGCUCUAUUAGGGAGAGGGUGGUCUCCGGGCUGGAGCAAUGCCGACAAGGCAUUCAACGAAUUUGUCGAGAAGCAUCUGUUCAAUUACUCGAAGGAUCGCCUCAGGGUCGGCGGGAACUCGACAUCGCUUCUGUCGCCGUAUCUUCAUUUCGGGGAGCUCAGCGUUCGAAAAGUGUUCCAGUUCGUGUGUCUGAAACAACUCGUUUGGAAGAAUGAGAAGAACGCUGACAGAGAAGAGAGUGCCGCGCUAUUUCUCAAGGCUGUGGGACUUCGAGAAUAUUCCCGAUACAUUUGCUUCAAUUUUCCCUUCACCCACGAAAAGUCGUUGCUUAGCAGCCUGAAAUUUUUCCCAUGGGACGUCAACCAGACCAAUUUCAAGGCUUGGCGACAAGGUCGAACCGGUUAUCCACUAGUCGACGCCGGAAUGCGAGAACUCUGGGCGACCGGGUGGAUCCAUAAUCGGAUUCGGGUAAUCGUUUCGAGCUUCUUCGUUAAAUUUCUUCUGCUGCCAUGGCAAUGGGGAAUGAAGUACUUUUGGGAUACACUUCUCGACGCGGACUUGGAAAGCGAUAUUCUUGGCUGGCAAUAUAUAUCCGGAAGCCUUCCCGACGGGCAUGAACUCGAGCGGAUGGAUAGCCCGCAGAUUCAGGGAUUCAAGUUCGAUCCGGAGGGUGAAUACGUGCGGCAAUGGCUGCCGGAAUUAGCUCGGAUGCCUACCGAGUGGAUUCAUCAUCCGUGGGACGCUCCUCCUGCCGUGCUUAAAUCCGCCGGCGUCGACCUGGGUGUGAACUACCCGAAGCCGAUAAUCGAUGUCGAUUUGGCGCGGGAUAAGUUAACGGAAGCUAUUGCGGUCAUGCGCGGAAACGAAGCGACGGAACGGGCGGCGAAUGAAGAAGUAUUCGACAACUCGGAUGUCAAUCCGAAGGUGGUUGUGAAAGAAAAGGGUCUCGGCCCGGUCAGUUCGUCGCUCGAUCAAAGGGUGCCAUCGAUGAGAAACUUAGAAAACGUCGUUCCGAAUAAGAAGAGAUCGAAAUCGAGGGAAGACGACAGGCCGGCGAGAGACAACUUAUGUAACAAUGGCAAAGGGGUCUCGAAAAUGGACGACGACGACUUGUGCUCGACCGCGGAAUCUUCUUCGACUAAGAAACAGACGACGAGCAGCCGGAUUUCGUUCUCCGUUCCUCAAAACUGUUCUUCGAUGUCGACAGAUGCGCCGUUUCGAGUUCUUGAUUCGUCGGACCUCGAGCUCAGAUGGCAAGACGAGAUCGGCGCGGAAGAGACGACGAGCAAAAAUGGAGCGACGAAUUUGCAGGUUUACGGGAAGCAGAAUAUCGGCGAGGAUGAAAGCCCGUCAUCCAAUCUAUGAACGUGCACGAGACGACAACGACGGCAUCGUCGACGAACAAUGUGUUGGUUCUCUCCCUGUAGAUAAGGUCUCAUUAAACAGGAACUGUCCUAACAUCCUUUGCACCCUCUGCUGCUUUGCUGUCGCCAUCGUCGUUGUCGAUGGUGUCCGAGUGCCCCCACGAACAUGAUGACAAAGCCUCCUUUAUCAUACGUCGAGAACAUGAACACGAACACGAACACGGUCACGACAAAGAACCCUAUCAAUUGGAUGGCGAAGCGCCCAAUUCUGUUGAUGGAAAAACAGUGAGCCAGUAGCUGCAACCGGUGCUGCAUAAGGCAAUCAGUGUCCGAGCCGGCAAAUACUCUUUCCGUUAACCUGAAAGAUAUACACUUUGCACAAAAUAUAUAUAUUUCCUCCGGCUCUAAGGAUCAUAUUUAUAUUUUGCGUGUUGAUUUCUGAAUAUUACUUAUUAUGUCAAAAUGUCGUACAAAUUAAGGAAAAAUACCAAAAAUGUUUCUAUUAGUGUCUUAUAAUACUAAUAUAAUGACAUUUGUACAAGUAUAAUAACACAAAUGAUAAAUGUAAUCCUUGUAGGCGGAUGGAGAUACUACUCCCUCCGUCCGGCUCUAAGGGUCUUAUUUAA
RNA transcript from Andrographis paniculata, 3685 nucleotides. It is a transcript of the gene named cryptochrome-1, with no coding region annotated. Lineage: Eukaryota; Viridiplantae; Streptophyta; Magnoliopsida; Lamiales; Acanthaceae. The record is from RefSeq and is a predicted model, not a curated record. The transcript is spliced from 6 exons.